Molecule: transfer RNA, 68 nt
Filed under: Gibbosaverruca weijiai
Lineage: Eukaryota; Metazoa; Arthropoda; Thecostraca; Verrucomorpha; Verrucidae
Description: tRNA-Leu
Rfam family: tRNA
About the family: Transfer RNA (tRNA) molecules are approximately 80 nucleotides in length. Their secondary structure includes four short double-helical elements and three loops (D, anti-codon, and T loops).
Source: RNAcentral
AUAAAUUUGGCAGAAGAAUGUAUUAGAUUUAGAAUCUAAAGAUAAGAAUUAAAAUUUCUUGAUUUAUA